GACGAACGCUGGCGGCGUGCUUAACACAUGCAAGUCGAGCGAGACCCGCCUUUCGGGUGGUGUUCUAGCGGCGAACGGGUGAGUAACACGUGGGCAACCUGCCCUCGGCUCUGGGAUAACUCCAAGAAAUUGGGGCUAAUACCGGAUAUGACUGCUGACCGCAUGGUCUGGUGGUGGAAAGAUUUAUCGGCUGGGGAUGGGCCCGCGGCCUAUCAGCUUGUUGGUGGGGUAGUGGCCACCAAGGCGACGACGGGUAGCCGGCCUGAGAGGGUGACCGGCCACACUGGGACUGAGACACGGCCCAGACUCCUACGGGAGGCAGCAGUGGGGAAUAUUGCGCAAUGGGCGGAAGCCUGACGCAGCGACGCCGCGUGGGGA
Molecule: ribosomal RNA, 378 nt
Filed under: uncultured bacterium
Lineage: Bacteria
Description: bacterial SSU rRNA
Rfam family: Bacterial small subunit ribosomal RNA
Source: RNAcentral